AUGCUCAGGAACGUGCCUAAGAUGCGCAUCUUUCCCGCUGAAUUAGCAAUUGCGACCAAGGGCUGCUCCCAGUUACCACUUUACAAGAAAAAGUGAUUGCAGCACCCUUUUCUUCUGAGAAAGGAAACGUUCUCAGAAAGGAAAGAAAAGGUGUUUUUUUCCCUUUGUUAUUUACUGCUCUCAGGAGAGACCCGGCUUGUGGUUUUGAGAGUCUGAGCUGCCUCUCACUAAAUCCACCGCACCACCCCCACCGGAGGAGAGCAGCCUGGCUGGUAACACCACCAGGAGCAGCCACAGCAUGCCGGCCCUGCCGCGUUCCAGGCUCCUGUAUUCAUCCCCAGACACGUGUCACAGGGAGAAGCUCAGAACAUUAUCCUGGAGGAAAAUCUGUAUUGUUUAUGGUUGGUAUUGAUCAGAAAAAAAGUCUAAUGGGGAAGACUGAACUAUGGAGGAGGAUUCUGUGUGUCAGAUUUCUUUCAACUGCAAGACACAGAAACCCAACGUAUGCAGAAAUCAGGCAGAGUGAACUCCUGAACUUGAGCAUUCCAAGGGAAUUCAAGCACAGAAGGAUCCAGGAUCUCCAACAAUGACAUAGGACUUUCUUAUUCCUUCUAAAUCUCCCUUUCCUUCUCUGAUGGUGCUUAGCUCUUCA
Molecule: long non-coding RNA, 652 nt
Organism: Suricata suricatta (meerkat)
Lineage: Eukaryota; Metazoa; Chordata; Mammalia; Carnivora; Herpestidae
Exons: 3
Source: RefSeq, a predicted model, not a curated record